RNAcentral lists this long non-coding RNA (332 nucleotides) under Gallus gallus (chicken). Its description in RNAcentral is "lncRNA (ENSGALG00010000663.1)". The record is from RNAcentral. Lineage: Eukaryota; Metazoa; Chordata; Aves; Galliformes; Phasianidae.
CUCUUUUCAACACCAGAAGUGCCAUUUUCAGCCCCAAAAUGCAGUUCUUCUAUUCCAGAAAUGCGAUUUUCAGCCCCAGAAUUGCCAUUUUCAGUCCAAAAACGGGGAUUUUCAGUCCUAAAACGGAGUUCCUCAUCUUCCAAAAUGACAUUUUUUAAGCCCAAAAAUGCCAUUUUCAGCCCCCAGAUUGGAUUUUCUCGCCCCAAAAUGAGGCCUCAGAGCCCCCCAUAGCGGUGUUCUUCGCCCCUCCCCGCUCACCUCGUUAAUUGGCGCUAAUUAACGUUGGCUCAUUAACGACUUCGGGCGGCUCCAGAGUCGGUUUUGGUUCCUCC